RNAcentral lists this ribosomal RNA (419 nucleotides) under bacterium. Its description in RNAcentral is "partial 16S ribosomal RNA". It matches the Rfam family "Bacterial small subunit ribosomal RNA", at positions 355 to 776 of the family's 1533-position model. The record is from RNAcentral.
UGGGGGAUAUUGCACAAUGGGCGAAAGCCUGAUGCAGCGACGCCGCGUGGGGGAUGAAGGCCUUCGGGUUGUAAACUUCUUUUGCUCUGAACAAGGCAUGCUAAUGGGUGUGUUGAGUGUAGGGGUUGAUUAGCGCCGGCUAACUACGUGCCAGCAGCCGCGGUAAUACGUAGGGCGCGAGCGUUGUCCGGAAUUAUUGGGCGUAAAGGGCUUGUAGGUGGCUGGUUGCGUCUGUCGUGAAAGCUGAUGGCUUAACUGUGGGUUUGCGGUGGGUACGGGCUGGCUUGAGUGCAGUAGGGGAGGCUGGAAUUCCUGGUGUAGCGGUGGAAGGCGCAGAUAUCAGGAGGAGUACCGGUGGCGAAGGCGGGUCUCUGGGCUGUUACUGACACUGAGGAGCGAAAGCAUGGGGAGCGAACAGG